UUCGUUGCAGAAGGCUUGUAGAUAACACAUUUGACCUACAGGCCGUCUGUAAUGACA
This is a microRNA precursor of Gadus morhua (Atlantic cod), 57 nucleotides long. NCBI's taxonomy places the organism in Eukaryota, Metazoa, Chordata, Actinopteri, Gadiformes, Gadidae. The record is from Ensembl.